GACAGAGGGUGCAAACGUUGCUCGGAAUUACUGGGCGUAAAGCGCGUGUAGGUGGCCACGCAAGUCAGGUGUGAAAGCCCAGGGCUCAACCCUGGAAGUGCACAUGAUACUACGUGGCUGGAGUACUGAAGAGGAGAGCGGAAUUCCCGGUGUAGAGGUGAAAUUCGUAGAUAUCGGGAGGAACGCCAGUGGCGAAGGCGGCUCUCUGGGCAGAUACUGACACUGAGACGCGAAAGCGUGGGUAGCAAACAGG
Molecule: ribosomal RNA, 253 nt
Filed under: uncultured bacterium
Lineage: Bacteria
Description: partial 16S ribosomal RNA
Rfam family: Bacterial small subunit ribosomal RNA
Source: RNAcentral